GGAUGUGAGGGUGAUCUGGCUGUGACAUCUGUCACCACAUUGGGUUGAUUUGGCUAGCUAGGCUGGUGUCCCCUUCCUCCCUUACCACUCCAUAUGCGUCCUCCUGAAGCUAUGCACUUGGUUGAAGAGGACAGCCUUCCCCGAAUAGAGAUGGACCAGUCUUUGGUCAAAGGUAUAAGAGUAGCUGCGCUCCCCUGCUAGAACCAACAAACAAGCUAUCAAGAAUAGUGGAGCUUAUGGUGAAAGUCAGUUGAGAGGACAUUCUUGGAUUUCAGGCACAUUUGACCUUAGGAU
This 294-nucleotide small nuclear RNA is filed under the name Erinaceus europaeus (western European hedgehog). Its description in RNAcentral is "7SK RNA". It matches the Rfam family "7SK RNA". Rfam says of the family: 7SK was discovered as an abundant small nuclear RNA in the mid-70s but a possible function has only recently been suggested. Two independent studies have found that 7SK RNA binds the CDK9/cyclin T complex (known as elongation factor P-TEFb). Lineage: Eukaryota; Metazoa; Chordata; Mammalia; Eulipotyphla; Erinaceidae. The record is from Rfam by way of RNAcentral.